ACACAUGCAGUCGACGGUAACAGGAAACAGCUUGCUGUUUCGCUGACGAGUGGCGGACGGGUGAGUAAUGUCUGGGAAACUGCCUGAUGGAGGGGGAUAACUACUGGAAACGGUAGCUAAUACCGCAUAACGUCGCAAGACCAAAGAGGGGGACCUUCGGGCCUCUUGCCAUCGGAUGUGCCCAGAUGGGAUUAGCUAGUAGGUGGGGUAACGGCUCACCUAGGCGACGAUCCCUAGCUGGUCUGAGAGGAUGACCAGCCACACUGGAACUGAGACACGGUCCAGACUCCUACGGGAGGCAGCAGUGGGGAAUAUUGCACAAUGGGCGCAAGCCUGAUGCAGCCAUGCCGCGUGUAUGAAGAAGGCCUUCGGGUUGUAAAGUACUUUCAGCGGGGAGGAAGGGAGUAAAGUUAAUACCCUUGCUCAUUGACGUUACCCGCAGAAGAAGCACCGGCUAACUCCGUGCCAGCAGCCGCGGUAAUACGGAGGGUGCAAGCGUUAAUCGGAAUUACUGGGCGUAAAGCGCACGCAGGCGGUUUGUUAAGUCAGAUGUGAAAUCCCCGGGCUCAACCUGGGAACUGCAUCUGAUACUGGCAAGCUUGAGUCUCGUAGAGGGGGGUAGAAUUCCAGGUGUAGCGGUGAAAUGCGUAGAGAUCUGGAGGAAUACCGGUGGCGAAGGCGGCCCCCUGGACGAAGACUGACGCUCAGGUGCGAAAGCAUGGGGAGCAAACAGGAUUAGAUACCCUGGUAGUCCACGCCGUAAACGAUGUCGACUUGGAGGUUGUGCCCUUGAGGCGUGGCUUCCGGAGCUAACGCGUUAAGUCGACCGCCUGGGGAGUACGGCCGCAAGGUUAAAACUCAAAUGAAUUGACGGGGGCCCGCACAAGCGGUGGAGCAUGUGGUUUAAUUCGAUGCAACGCGAAGAACCUUACCUGGUCUUGACAUCCACAGAACUUUCCAGAGAUGGAUUGGUGCCUUCGGGAACUGUGAGACAGGUGCUGCAUGGCUGUCGUCAGCUCGUGUUGUGAAAUGUUGGGUUAAGUCCCGCAACGAGCGCAACCCUUAUCCUUUGUUGCCAGCGGUCCGGCCGGGAACUCAAAGGAGACUGCCAGUGAUAAACUGGAGGAAGGUGGGGAUGACGUCAAGUCAUCAUGGCCCUUACGACCAGGGCUACACACGUGCUACAAUGGCGCAUACAAAGAGAAGCGACCUCGCGAGAGCAAGCGGACCUCAUAAAGUGCGUCGUAGUCCGGAUUGGAGUCUGCAACUCGACUCCAUGAAGUCGGAAUCGCUAGUAAUCGUGGAUCAGAAUGCCACGGUGAAUACGUUCCCGGGCCUUGUACACACCGCCCGUCACACCAUGGGAGUGGGUUGCAAAAGAAGUAGGUAGCUUAACCUUCGGGAGGGCGCUACC
RNAcentral lists this ribosomal RNA (1414 nucleotides) under uncultured bacterium. RNAcentral's name for it is "16S ribosomal RNA". It matches the Rfam family "Bacterial small subunit ribosomal RNA". The record is from RNAcentral.